UACGAAGGGAGCUAGCGUUGCUCGGAAUCACUGGGCGUAAAGGGUGCGUAGGCGGCCGUGCAAGUCUGGCGUGAAAGCCCCGGGCUCAGCCCGGGAAGUGCGCUCGAAACUGCGCGGCUCGAGUGCCGGAGGGGAGAGUGGAAUUCCUGGUGUAGCGGUGAAAUGCGUAGAUAUCAGGAGGAACACCGGUGGCGAAAGCGACUCUCUGGACGGCAACUGACGCUGAGGCACGAAAGCGUGGGGAGCAAACAGG
This 253-nucleotide ribosomal RNA is filed under the name uncultured bacterium. Its description in RNAcentral is "partial 16S ribosomal RNA". It matches the Rfam family "Bacterial small subunit ribosomal RNA", at positions 524 to 776 of the family's 1533-position model. The record is from RNAcentral.